CCCUUAGAUGUUCUGGGCUGCACGCGCGCUACACUGAUGCGCUCAACGAGUUUUAACCUUGCCUGGAAAGGUUGGGUAAUCUUUUUAAAACGCAUCGUGAUGGGGAUAGAUUAUUGCAAUUAUUAAUCUUCAACGAGGAAUUCCUAGUAAGCGCGAGUCAUCAGCUCGUGCUGAUUACGUCCCUGCCCUUUGUACACACCGCCCGUCGCUCCUACCGAUUGAAUGUUCCGAUGAAUACCAUGGACUGAGAGUAUGAAUGGGUUCGCCUAUUUCUGCUUCUCGGGAAGUGGAGUAAAUCUUAACAUUUAGAGGAAGGAGAAGUCGUAACA
This 329-nucleotide ribosomal RNA is filed under the name uncultured eukaryote. RNAcentral's name for it is "partial 18S ribosomal RNA". It matches the Rfam family "Eukaryotic small subunit ribosomal RNA", at positions 1470 to 1796 of the family's 1831-position model. The record is from RNAcentral.